This is a long non-coding RNA of Helianthus annuus (common sunflower), 2116 nucleotides long. RefSeq lists it as uncharacterized. NCBI's taxonomy places the organism in Eukaryota, Viridiplantae, Streptophyta, Magnoliopsida, Asterales, Asteraceae. The record is from RefSeq and is a predicted model, not a curated record. The transcript is spliced from 6 exons.
ACUCCCAGUUCUCUCUCAUCAUGUUUGAAUUUUGAAAUUCACAUUCCCUACUUCCACUCCCAGUUCUCUCUCUUGAUUCUUUGAUCUUGUUCUUUUUCAGGAGCAACCUAAAUCUCAAAGUCGGUCCGAUAUUGAAGGGUUUCUUAUCUUGAAUCGUUGUUAGGCGGCUACAAUUGAAUGAGCAAAUGGCUGAGAGGUAUGUGUUCUAUCAUAAUCGUAAGAAGGGUGAAGGGUUGUGCCAAACUGGGUUCCGAUCUGAGUUUCAAGGAUUUAUGACCUUUGACUGGGUUCUGAUUUAAGCAAACCAAAGAUACAGCAAUCAAGCUUGAUCUGGACGGGCUUGUUGUUAUUGGAGGACAUGAUUCAACACAAAUACUUGCCUUCAUGAAAAUCAACCUGCCAACAUGAAAGUUUUAGGAUCAAGAAUAGACUUGAGUCAUUAGAUGCCCAGAGGCCAUUGAUGGAGACUUGAAAUGUAAAGAAGUUCUUACAAGUUUUGGUGUCGAUACUGCAUGUAAGGAAAUUUCCUUUAUGUCCAUUUUCAUAUUAUUGUUAUAUUUUGUUGCUUCUUAUUUUGAGUUACAGGUGUUAAUGAAUUUGACAACCUGUGCAGAUCUGUGCUGAACAGAUUAGAAAAUGUUAUGAUAGAUGCCCGAUCAACAGGAAACAUUAUCACUAGAGCCUAAUUGUUUUAUAGUUGUGGAUGAAAUUUAGGGGUGAUGUAUAAGAGAAUGAAAUUAUAAUAUCAUGACGUGGUUCUUUUAUCAUCGCCAUGCUCAGUAUCUGGCUUUAUAUGUUUUCUAUUAUUGUAUGGACUGGUAAACAUAGUGCAUGAGCUUUAUUUGAGCUGAUAUAUAAACAAGAAUGCUAAUUUAACUAGAGCUUUAAGAGUUUGGAGAUUGUAGUUAUGAAUAUUAUGUUUUAUUUGAUGAGUCUCAACAGUGUUUGGUUAAUUUUUCUAAAUUUUGAUGAUGGCAAGUCACUGGUUUUUGAGACGGGGAACACCAACUUCUUCGCAACAAUUGGUGCGAUCUUCUCCGCAACUGAUUUUGUUUCCACUUUGAAGGUUAAUCGUUCAUCAGGUUGGGUUGUUGACAAUAGGCAAAUGAGGAGUAUCUAUCUUACAUGAUAUCGAAGUCAAACGGUCAAUAGGCACACAGUGAGAAGUAUGGCAUUAAGGGUAACCACACAAUAUGUGUGAUAACUUGUUUGUCAAUUUUGUCAAUUUUGCAAUUUGGUGGGCUAAUCUGAUCUCCAAAAUCACAAGGGAUAAUACGUUUAAGUUUGAUGCUAAAUGGGGCCGGUUAGGUAACGGGUCGAAUGAGUAAUCACGGAAUGGGUUUGCUGAUGUUGGGUUGUUGGCACUAAUAGGUAGGAAUGUGUUGUGAUUUGGAUCCAAACUGCUCCUCGUGGCUUUUUGGUAAUUCCUUCUAUUUUUAAAUAUUCAUGUAAUAACUACAAUUUAGUUUAUGAUAUGAUUUGAAUUUGGUAUAGAGAAGAUGCACAUUGAGAGCUUUGAUAGGAUUGGUAAGGCUGCAAACUUUAGUCUAAGGGUGGCAUGUCAUGAAACAAGUGGUAUGCACUGCUCUGGGUCUAACAUAGAGUCGGGGCUUGACGGUGUUGUAAAUUGUCAAUGUCGUCGCUUCGCGCGGGUUUCUUACUAUAUAUAGUACAUAUAAGAAAACUACUAGACACAAGUGUCGUAAUGCAAAGUGUUGCCCCUGCCGCAUCGCGCGGGCACCCUACUAGUAUUCAGUACAUAGUAGUUGGUGUAUAUUACGCUUUUGCAGCCCAAGGCGACAAGAGUUGGUAUCCGACCUUGUUCCGCCCGCCACCAGAAUAUAUUUACUUUUUUUGAGAUCCAUUUUACCAACUCGAAAGGGUAGUACGAAAUCGCACAUACAUUCAGCAAAUUUCUGCAAGAACUCACUGUAAAGGAUCCAGUUGCAUCCCAUUCCCAACACCACUUGUCCCGGCUCCCAUUUAGCAGCAGUUAUUUUCCAAAAACAUUAUGUGAAAACAAUAACUGUAUUGGCAGUUAUUUAUGAUAUGUAUUUUCUAAAAUGUAAUGUUGUACUUCAUCUACAUAUCAUAAAGUCAAUUAUUCUUUAGUAGA